Molecule: ribosomal RNA, 542 nt
Filed under: uncultured bacterium
Lineage: Bacteria
Description: bacterial SSU rRNA
Rfam family: Bacterial small subunit ribosomal RNA
Source: RNAcentral
AAUAGAUACCCGGGUAGUCCACGCUGUAAACGUUGGGCGCUAGGUGUGGGGGGCCUCUCCGGUUCUCUGUGCCGCAGCUAACGCAUUAAGCGCCCCGCCUGGGGAGUACGGCCGCAAGGCUAAAACUCAAAGGAAUUGACAGGGGCCCGCACAAGCGGCGGAGCAUGCGGAUUAAUCCGAUGCAACGCGAAGAACCUUACCUGGGUUUGACAUGGCCGCAAAACCGGCAGAGAUGUUGGGUCCUUCGGGGGCGGUCACAGGUGGUGCAUGGCUGUCGUCAGCUCGUGUCGUGAGAUGUUGGGUUAAGUCCCGCAACGAGCGCAACCCUCGUUCGAUGUUGCCAGCGGUUCGGCCGGGGACUCAUCGAAGACUGCCGGGGUCAACUCGGAGGAAGGUGGGGAUGACGUCAAGUCAUCAUGCCCCUUAUGUCCAGGGCUUCACGCAUGCUACAAUGGCCGGUACAAUGGGCUGCGAUACCGUGAGGUGGAGCGAAUCCCAAAAAGCCGGUCUCAGUUCGGAUCGGGGUCUGCAACUCGACCCCG